This is a long non-coding RNA of Mauremys reevesii (Reeves's turtle), 300 nucleotides long. RefSeq lists it as uncharacterized. Lineage: Eukaryota; Metazoa; Chordata; Testudines; Geoemydidae. The transcript has 3 exons. The record is from RefSeq and is a predicted model, not a curated record.
GGGAUGCCCCAAACAGCAAAGAUGGACUACAAAAUACUGUGCUUCAGGCACCAUUUGUGGUUCAGGAAGAAAUUUCUGCUGAGAUGAUCUGGCAGGUGAUCCUGGAUCCCAGGUUGUUCUAUUGACAAUCUCUGUAGUAUCGGAGCACCUCCCAAGAAUGAGGAGUUAUAACACUGCAAGCAGAAUACUUACCAACACAUUUAGGAGGCUUGAGGCUGGGGGCUCUGGGCUUCAGCCUCCCUCGGGAUGCAGGGCUUCAGCCUUCAGCCACCUGCAGCGCUACACACUGGGACUGCCGCC